RNAcentral lists this ribosomal RNA (698 nucleotides) under Sandona tetramutans. Its description in RNAcentral is "eukaryotic LSU rRNA". The stretch from base 367 to 698 matches the Rfam family "Eukaryotic large subunit ribosomal RNA", at positions 1 to 328 of the family's 3401-position model. The record is from RNAcentral. Lineage: Eukaryota; Cercozoa; Glissomonadida; Sandonidae.
CAAUCUUUGACGCAAAUUGCGCUCUUGGGUAGCCCUAGGAGCACGCCUCUCUCAGUAUCGGUUCAACCACCUCUCAGCAGCGUAUGCAAAUGCGCGUUGGCUGGAGAAUGAGAGUCGAAUCCUCACCGAUUCGUCUCUUGAAAUACAUCGAGUGAGUCUCAUAUUCUCUAUACGCGUGUCUUCGGGCACAAGCUCGUCUUCGACUGGCGGUAUGGGAGUGACGUGAAUACUGACCCUCUGUGGUCUCACAUUUACGUGUAACUUUCAUUCGCUAUACAAAAGUCGAUCAGGAGUGUUGGAGGAGAGUGACUCAUGUCCAGCGGCCUCGGCUGCAAUCGGCUUGAAUGCAAAUUUGAGUCUGAAUUUUGAUCUGAGAUGAAGCGAGACAACCCCCUGAAUUUAAGCAUAUUAAUAAGGGGAGGAAAAGAAACUAACAAGGAUUCCCCCAGUAACGGCGAGUGAAGCGGGAAGAGCUCAAUUUGAAAAUCGACUACCUAAGCGGGUCGUCGAGUUGUAGCCUAGAGACGUACUAUCAGCUGAAACCUGGGUAUAAGUUCUUUGGAAUGAGGCAUCAUAGAGGGUGAGAAUCCCGUAUAUGACCCAAAGCUUUCAGCGUACGAUGUAUGUUCAUCGAGUCGAGUUGUUUGGGAUUGCAGCUCUAAAUGGGUGGUAAGUUUCUCUAAAGCUAAAUAUGGCGA